Molecule: ribosomal RNA, 253 nt
Filed under: uncultured bacterium
Lineage: Bacteria
Description: partial 16S ribosomal RNA
Rfam family: Bacterial small subunit ribosomal RNA
Source: RNAcentral
UACGUAGGGAGCAAGCGUUAUCCGGAUUUAUUGGGUGUAAAGGGUGCGUAGACGGGAAGGCAAGUUGGUUGUGAAAUCCCUCGGCUUAACUGAGGAACUGCAACCAAAACUAUCUUUCUUGAGUGCUGGAGAGGAAAGUGGAAUUCCUAGUGUAGCGGUGAAAUGCGUAGAUAUUAGGAGGAACACCAGUGGCGAAGGCGACUUUCUGGACAGUAACUGACGUUGAGGCACAAAAGUGUGGGGAGCAAACAGG